Molecule: unclassified non-coding RNA, 391 nt
Filed under: soil metagenome
Description: partial contains 5.8S ribosomal RNA, internal transcribed spacer 2, and large subunit ribosomal RNA
Rfam family: 5.8S ribosomal RNA (bases 1-122)
Source: RNAcentral
GAUGAAGAACGUAGUGAAAUGCGAUACUUGGUGUGAAUUGCAGAAUCCCGUGAACCAUCGAGUCUUUGAACGCAAGUUGCGCCCGAAGCCAUUAGGCCGAGGGCACGCCUGCCUGGGCGUCACACGUCGUUGCCCCCCCAUCUACUCCUUCGGGAUUGCGAGGGGCGGAUGAUGGCCUCCCGUGCGCCUCGUCGCGCGGUUGGCAUAAAUGCCAAGUCCUCGGCGACGCACGCCACGACAAUCGGUGGUUGCGAAACCUCGGUUGCCCGUCGUGUGCGGUCGUCGCGCAUCGAGGGCUCGAAAAAAUUGCCGGGCUCCGGCUCGGCUUUCAACGCGACCCCAGGUCAGGCGGGGUUACCCGCUGAAUUUAAGCAUAUCAAUAAGCGGAGGA